CGGUAUCGACUCCUGGGUCCUCAGUCCCUCCCGCGCCGUCCACGGAGGUGAAGCUCUGUAUCUGCAUUUGCCGCCUCCCGCCUCCACCGCCCUCAUUGCCUCUACCCGCCUCAUAAUCUCCGUCGUUGUGAACUGUGGUUAAUCAGCCGGUUGAGCUGCCCUCGCCGAUCGAUCGAAGAGAGUACAUCCGUUGUCAUAUUUCUGUUUUCCUUGAGUUCUCAUCUUCUCUCCCUUUCGCCGAACGAGACCUUUACGAUUUAAGACGAAGAAGACUGACUUUAAAUUUGCUUUCUGGAUUCCUUCCCUUAACAGCAAUCACUAGUAGACACAAGAACCCUAAAACAAGGACCAGUAAUGGGCAAGACUAGUGCAAGACCAGGAUCAAAAGCUGAGCGCAAGUUUGAAAAGAAGCUCGAAUUUUAUGGCAGUAAGUUUUUUUUUU
Molecule: long non-coding RNA, 442 nt
Organism: Neltuma alba
Lineage: Eukaryota; Viridiplantae; Streptophyta; Magnoliopsida; Fabales; Fabaceae
Exons: 2
Source: RefSeq, a predicted model, not a curated record